Molecule: non-coding RNA, 23070 nt
Organism: Cinara cedri
Lineage: Eukaryota; Metazoa; Arthropoda; Insecta; Hemiptera; Aphididae
Source: the annotation of a GenBank genome assembly
CGGCGUUUACACGCGUUUCGCGCGUUUGUUUCGACGAUCUCCGGGGCGACGACCGACCGUCGGCACCGCGGACACGAGUUCCAUUUUCCCUGUGCACACGUAUACCACUCGCCGUCGUUGCACAGUCGGCCUACAACACGUCUCGCCAAUAACGACCGAAUGAUAAAUCGACUAAUAUUUUUCCCGGAGGACUUGUUGUCGUCGUACUUGUCACAUAUAGCGAUGCGCCAGCCGGCCGAAUAUUAUUCCGUUCGUGGUUGAUUCGCGACGACGACGAUGACUUUGCUCGACGAAGAAUUUCCGGUCACGAUGCGAUUAUCGCCACACAUCGAUAUAAUAUAAUACAUAUGUAUGUAUAUUAUUUAUUCCUAAGUGUAUUCCGCGAAGAGUUAACCGUAUUUCUUUUUCCGGACAGUCCGUUCAAAAUGGAUACGACAUUCGAAUACGUAUGUAUAACAUAAAACCCCGGACCCAAUUAUUAUAAUCUCGAGCCGAUCGAUUUUUUUUCCCGCGUACAAUAAAGGAUCCCUAUAGUAGCGUAGAGUAAAUUCGAUUUUAGAUGUUUUCAUUUUAUAAACUACUUUACAUUGUUGGUUAUUUUUCCGUUAUCUCGAUUACCGAUCUGAUGCCGCGACCACCGGUGACCGCCGUGACCACAUUCCGUUAUUUCGGCUAUCUAACGCAGCAUCGAUAAAUAAAGUCUACCGUAUGUACAGUUUUCAUAUAAUUUUAAUAUUUCAAUUUUAUAAUUUCAUAAUUUCACCGGUUUUUGAAUUCACGGUGUUUUGGGAGCAAAGAUUUUUUUUAAAAUAAUUCAAGAGCACCGAACUUUCACUGCCGUGUAAAUUCCAGAGUUUCGUAGUUUUAACUAAUAGCAAAUAAUAACUAGAAUAAUAAAGAUAAUUUUGAAUGUCAGUUAACAAAAUAUCAACUCUGAUAACCUAAAAAUUAGCUGACACGAUUAUUAAACGACGGAAUAUCCGGUAAUUAGACGGUAGUCAUUAUAACUGAAAGGUUAUAUCAUUAUAAUUAAUCACUAUACUAUAAUCGUUUAAUCGAAAAUCGUUUUACUUAUGAUUUAAAUUCGUCCGGUUAGUGGUUAUUCAAUCAAAAUCAUGACCAAUGAACUAAAAUUCAAGACAAAUUAAGUGCCAACGCUCCAACUGAAAAAAUUCAAAAAAAGUCACAUUUAGCAAAAAUGAGUCCCUAUUUUCCCAUCCACUAAUUACGAUUCCAGUUUCAUAUAAGCAUAGCUGAUCUCAUUCCCUUAGCUUCUUAAAGAUCUUAUCUUCUUUAAUGUCUGAUUAUGUGAAUUUAUUAUCUAAUGUCUGAGCUGUGGUUAUUUUAACAGUUAUUUUCGAGUGUCAGUUUACAAGUCGUUAGGGAACAUUACUUAUACUAAAGGUCGUUAGACAAUCUUUCUAUUAUCUUAAAUCUUUAUCUUAUUUACAUAAUAUAUUCAAAAUAUUUUCCUGCUAUCACAACAUUAAAACGCAUAUUAUCGACAAAUGCAUUAAAAUAAUAAUUCGACAGUAUAAUUCAUUCGGAAUUUUCAUCGUGGACUAAUCACCCCAUAAAUGUAACCGGGUUUACUAAAUAUUAAUUUUUUUUUUCGUAAUAAAUCUCAAUUGCAUACUAUUUUUAUACAAUUGAAUAGUGUAAUUAAUACGUCUCGAGAAACACUAAGAAAAUUGCAUUUAAUAAUAAUAGGUACCUCGGUAUGUUAACAGUAGUUGGGUGUUACUUUCCGAGAUAUUUAAGUGCGUCUUUUAAACACACUCGCAGAUAUUGAAAUUUCGAAAUAUUUAAUCGGAUUUUUUUCUCUAUAUAACAAUAACAUUAAAAUACACCCGUGAGCAGUAGAACUCUGUCAUUAAAAUCGAAUUUCCCUAUACAUGUUUUGUAUUACGGACAUAUCGUUUAUAAAACAAUAAAUAAAUAAUACAUGAAUAAUACAAUUCUAAAAAAAAAACUUAUUAUAAUAAUAUACAACAAACUAUAAUACUUCCAAAAAAAAAAAAAAAGUUAGAAUUCGAACGUAAAAAUAAUCGGCGUGUAGGGAUUGAAAAUUUUAAAUGCCCGAAAAGGUGGUUCUAACACGCUGUGUCUCGUCGGGGGAAAAGUGUCGCAUAAAGGGAAUUUCCAAACAACAUCAAGGAAAUAUAUCAUGGAUUUCGCACCCGUGUCUGAAACAUAAUCCAGAUGGAAACAAAAAAUGUAACUAUAACCGUACACGAACGAAUAUAAUAAAUUACAGAUAAUUAUAAUAAAUUGUACAAUUGGCUAUAUAUAUCUAUACCAAUAAUACUACACUGUGUUCGCUGCCGAAAAACUUUUAAUGGAUUUAAUGCCUACCUAAGUACGCUAGGUACCUACCUAGCGCUACCCCCGGAAUUAAAUAUAACAACACGUCACAAUUCCUGUGUAAAGUACACCGGUUAGGUUAGGUACACAAAUACCGCGUACCGUAUAUACCUCGGUAAGUGUAAAGUUUGCUCGGGGAUUAACCUUCUGUCGUAUAAACUCCAGGAGAUAGUAUAAAGGACAUUUUAAAUUCAAUACGGUAUCUAGCUACCGGCCAAAAAUAAAAUCCUAUUUAGCUGCGCUGACGACAAGUGUAAUAUAAUAGUUAUAGCGGUGUUUCCGGCUUUAACGAAUUAACGAAACACUGACGUUUCUAUUGGCAGUAAUAAUUACUCGUAAAUUAGGAUAUAAACCGUUUAGAAUAGAGAGUUUUAUGUUCAACGAAAUUAUAACUUCUCCCUUCCCUCCAGUCUUUUCAAACGUUCUUCAAAACCUCGUUUUUAGCGUAUAUUACGUAAAUUGUUGGCAGAUGUCGGUCCAUCCGUAAUUUAUAACAAGAACAGAUAUUUAUAUAUCUUGAAAACCAUUAAAUAUAUGUGCAUUUAAAAUGCUUAAAUAUCCCCUUAAAAUAUGGUAAAAAUCAAAGAAACAAAACCAAAAACUGACGAAUUUUUAAAAAUCAUGUUUUAAAUGUAAACAUCUCGUGUAAAAUUUUAUGCCGUGGAAAUUUAAGUAUGCCAAAUUACAAAAAAUAAAAAAAUUUUUUAUAGAAUCGUUAAAGAUAUUUUUGUCUUUGUCUUUUUCACUAUCAUUUUUUUUUUGUAUUUUAGAUAUUAUUAAUAAUAACUAACUAUUUUUUUGACCAACUAUUAAAAAUAUGGCUAAUCAUAUACAUUUUUGGUAUAUUUUAUAUUUAUUACUUUUCUCAGGUCCAAAAAUGACUCAGCGUAUAAACUGCGGACUAAUUUCAAAAAUACUUUAUACCAAUAACGUGGAAAAAACUAUUUCAAUUCCUGUACGGGUGCACUCACAUUUCAAAUUUGGAAAAUAUUCUGAUUUACUAAGAUUUUUUUAUAGUUAUUCAUUUUUAUUUUAUGCUUUAUUUACGUUAUAUACCUGAUUCAGAGUGAAUCCAUCAUUAAAAAAUCAACCUGUGUAACGAAAAUCGGUAAGAGAUGCUCGCAGUCCUUAUUUGUACAUGUUUAGAGUUUUAAAACCAUAUUCACGCAAAACAGAAAGACUUGUUUAAAAGUUUCUAAAGAUAAAACGUCUUAUAUAAUAUAAAUACAGAGAACAGUUCAAAGGGAAUCUCGCCAUAUGCGUUUUUUAAAAUAUUAACCCGAUUUAUAUAUGGGUAUAUGAAUUUAAAAAUGUUUCAUCAGAGAUAUUGUUUUUUAUUAUUAAAAUAAAAAAGAAAAAAUUGUGUCCAAAAUAAUUUUAAGAAUACUGCUUAUAUCAAUGUUAUUAUAGUCAUUGAAAGUGUGUUUGACUACUAUUAUUUUUUCAAAAAUUUCAAUACUUACAUACAAAUAUCCGAUUUGCAACCUAUUAAGAUUAUCUGGUGUUAGAUAGUUAUAUUUCCAUAAUAUAUAAAAUUAGCUAUACGAACUACAAAAGUGUAUUGUACUCGUAUUAAAUUCACAUAAUUACGUUUCAUAAUAUUAUUCAAUGCACACGUCAUCCGAGUUAAUGCGUCGUAAUUUAACCGCCAUCUUACUCUUUGACUUUGCGUUAAAAACAAUGGUCGUGUAUCAUAUGUGUGUGUUUUCGUAUAUUGUCACGAAUUAUUCUACUCGUGCUUUUAUAAUUUUGUAAUAAGUCAUGUCAGUGAAUAUAAAGUCCCUAAACCCUUAAAACCGAACUACGAAACUACAAGUCGUGUAUCAAUAUGAUUUUAACAUAACCCAACGUACGCCGGUGUCGUUUGGGAAUCCGACAUUCAACGGCAAAAAGCUGGAAUCCAUCCAAAAUUACAUUAAAACCAACGCCACCAUUCGUAUCCUAUCUUAUCAACUUCCUUCAACCCAAAUCUUUUCAAGACACUUCAUAAUCAAAACGGCACUAAAUGCCUAUUCGACGGAACUCCGAAAUCCUCAUUUCAACCACACUUAGAUCAUUAAUAAAAAAAAAACUCCAGCCAUUUAGAGUGGUCGAUAUUACGAGUUCAUCGCAUUCCUGAAAUCCACUCCAAUCAUACCCAUUCAAUUUCCAUAAGCGUUACACCUAAAAUGAGUAUACAGUCCUUAUUUAUGAUCGUCCGUUUCACAAAAACAAAAAAUAAUCGUUAUUUUUAUAAUAUGCAGUAUUGUAUGAACAUAAAUGUUAAACUAUUCAGAUAAAGAUAAGUGAUUAUUGCCGAAAUAGUUAUCGUUCACAUUGAUUUUAUAAUAUCAAAAAAUAAGGAUAUUUUAAUUAAAUCUGUACGUAUUUUAUCUACAUUAUAUUAUUGUAUUCAAAUUGUUCGUGUUGUACUUGUACUGAAUUAUAAAGUUUAAAAAAUAAGUAACAAUUUAGUUAUCUAAAUAAAGAUAAAUACCUUAUUUGAACUUUUAAAGUUGAUCAUACAUUUUUUGUUAAUAGCCUACCGUAAGACUAAAUGCUACAAAUUGCCAAUGCAUCUCAGAUUUGGUACACGUAUAGAUUUCAAACGGUUUGUGAAAUUUGCGUAAUUUUUAUUAAUUUAUUACUCCGUAUAACUAAACCUGCUAUGAUAUAUUGACCUUUUUUUUUUUAAAAAAAAUUCAUUUUAUACAUAAAAUAAUAUUAUAUACUUAUAUAGUUAUUUAUAACAGUUACACAAUAUUUACCUAAAAUAUGGAUUAUAGAUGAAUCAAUUAUUUGUUUCAGAUAUAAAAAUUAUUUUUUUUUAAUUAUUUAUUAUUCAAAUAAGAUAAAAAUUAAUACAUUUUUAUCUAGAUAAAACAACACUGGUUAUAUUAUAAUAAAGUAAUUAUUAUGUAUGCGGUAUUAUUUGUUAAACUCGGUACAAUUAAAACAAAUUUAAGAUAAAUAAUAACAACAUCACGCUUAAAAUCGCUUUAUAUUAAUAAUUAAAACGUUUAAUUAUUCAAAUUGAAAAGGAAUUUUCGAUUCAGUAGGUAGAUAUAAUAAAAUAAUAUCCAAAUAUUAAAUAAAAAUUAAUUCAAAGUGAUAUUAUUAUAUUUUAAUAAAACUGCAACAGUACAUGUAGAGUUUUUUGCGCUGUUAUUCAUUUUUGUUAUUUAAAUAAUCGCAUAACAGUGCUAAAAUUUAAUUAUUCGUUUUUCAGUUUCCUUCCGUAAAAACGUUUUAUUAUUAUACAUUUUUAAUUUUCAUUAACAUAUUUUUUUAGAGAUCUCAUAUUGUUUUACAUUAUCUUGUUUUAUAGUAUUGUACAUUUAUUAAAUUUAAUUAUUUAUUUUUUUUUAUCUAAUUUUCCAUUAAAAAAUAAGACUAUGUUGUACGUUUUUGUGCUUGUCCUUAUUCCAGUGCUUGUGGACACUUGUACUAGCUACCUCUGAACCAAAUUACCUCAAACUCGGGAAUCGGUGUUUUAAUUAUACGUGGCCUGGAGUAAUUACAUUUUGUGAAAUAUCUCGUCAGGAUUAACGGAAAUGUUCGACCCUAAAUGUAUUUGAACGGAGACUUUAUCUAUUCAUGUAAAUUGGUACGUAAGGUCUAAAUCGAAUUUGAAAAUGUUUAAGUUUUGAAAACUAAAAUAGGGUGGAUUUACAUAAAAAAAAAAAAAAACAAAAACAGUAAAAUUCUUGAAUAUUUAAUUCCGUAAUGAUUUUAUUUUAAAUCGUUUUUCUAAAACAAUAAUUUCAUAGACAAUAUGUUACGUGAAAUUUAGAACACUCCGUAUAUAUUAACUAUAAAUUAUUAAACAGACUCAAUACGUCGAAAAUAUGACAGCGGAUAAUAUCGAAUAAAACGUUUAAACACCGCGAGCGUUUAAGAAUUCAAAACUUAUAAUACAAACGUCCACAAUAUUAGUGAAAUAUUGUAAUAAUGUCCUUUGGCUGUCACGCCAUGUCGAGAGCCGUUGAUUAUUAAAAGGUUAUACAUACUUAUACGUGGAUUUCAACUUUUUUUUUGUUUGUCGUUUAUCCCGGCGUGAACACCAACAGUGCUUUAUUAUGCGCUCGAUUUCGUAUACACUGAUAUUAUAAAGGUGCGUACAAGUCGUGUAAAUUGUUUACUCCGCAGAACAUUUCAUUCCGACAAACAAAGUGUAAUUGUAUUAAUUUAAUUGUGUAUUAUUCGAAAUGUCUAACCGUUAGGAAUAAUGUACACGCCGGGUUUGCGUCUAUCUAUCUACAUUUAUAUUACCUCGGUCGUUUGGAACUCGUGAUUUCCACAUCAAAUGAUUUUCCGCGUUAUCGUCGCGUUUCGCGCGCCAAGACAUUAUAUUGCAUCAUUUUAUUAUGUAUACUUAAUGUUCAAAUGAUUUACGAUAAUUAUGUAAAACUGAACAUAUUAUAUCAAAUAGAAAAUUCGAUUAAAAAAAAAAAAAAAAAAAAAAAAAAAAUCUAAAAGAAAAGCCGCCUUACAGUCGAUGAUUUUGUUAACACGAACGCAGAGUGUGUGAUUAACGGAGUUUAGGAUAAAAAAAAUCCGCGUAAAAAAAUUUAAAGUGAUCGGACGAAAACUAUAAUGUCUAUAUAGUUACGGUAAGUAGUCAAAUGACUUUAUUCAGUACGCUACGCAGUAAAAGCUUAAUGAAAUAUUGUUGAAACAAGGUACAUUUGGAGAACCGUCGGAAAAAUAAUUUCCGUCUAUAAAAUCAACAAAAAAUGUUCACUGCUUCUAAUCAGUCAAAAUCAUACUAAUUUUAUUGGCAAACAUGCUGAGAAACCCGGAAUACGACGAAACAACUAAUUUUUAACUCCUAUGUCGAAUUAUUGAAAUUUAAAAUAUUAGAAGAACGUAAUUCUGUAGUUUAAAAAGAAUUACUAUAUUUUGUUCCAUCUUACAUCGAACUUAUGUGUAGUCAUGAGUUGAGACGAGACAAAAAAACAAUUUCUAAUUUUUGUUUUAAAAUAUUUUUUUCAAAUAUCGUCAUAUCCCACACGAUUUGUCCCGAAAUGCACCUAAAAUACUAAUAAUGUACCUAACACUAAUUUAUUUUUCAUUAUACGUACUAACAAUUUAGUACCUAUACUAAAAAAUAUCUUCUUCCACGAUAUCCUUUAAACUUUUUCUAGGCCGACCCCGAGUUCUCUUGUUCAUUUGGUUGUCACUGCUUUGUAAUGCGUGCUCACCACUUUGAAUCACGUGCUCGAGAGAUUAUUGAUUCUUAGGAUUCUUUGUCGCAUAAAUAUCAUGCUGAUGGCAUACACAAUUUUCCUUGCGAGUUUAUUGUUAAAUUACCUCUUUCACGUUCUUUUUGUACGACCGUGAAUUGGUACACAUAUUAUAUAUUCUGUAUCGAAUCAUUAAUAGCCUAAGUCUAUACUGCACAUGUUUAUUAUGUAAGCAUCGGCCUUAUUACCGUCACGUAAAUUCUAACUUUUGUUUUAUUUGAACAUAAUUAAUAUUGUAGGAGUACAUACUACAAAAUCUGAAACAAAUUAAAAUAAUUCAUUUCUCGUUGAUUUCAAAGUCUACUACGUUAUAUGUUAUUCGUCUUAUAUAUUGACACCAAAAGAAAAUUAUAAUAAUUUUGAUAGAGGAUCAUUUAUUUGAAUAGAAAUUGGUAAAAAUAAAAUAGGCUUAUUUUUUUAUUAUUAUUUAUUUAUUAUUUAUUAUAUUAUUUAUAUUAUUUAACUUGAUAACUUAUUUAAUAAAUGAUUUGUUUUUUUAUUGAUAAUUUUUAAUAUUUGUCCAGGUCAUCGACGUCAUAUCACUACUCUGAAAAUAAUUAAACGUGAAGUAUAUCAUUACAUAUCAGUUCAAAAAAUAUGUGAGUAGUAUUUUGUUUUGUUCCUCUAAUUAUGACACCAUGACUAAAUUCGUUUUUUUUUUUUUUUUAGUCUGUAAAAAUAAUUGUAAACAAAAUAGGCACUCGUAAUCCCAAUUGUUUACAUAAGCUAUACACCUGUAAAAGCUAAAACGCUUAAGAUUUUUUUGUUAUGUUGACAAUUUAAAGUAUUUUUUAUUUUUUUUUCGUAUUAGAGUGUUUAUCAAACACCAGAAAUAAAUUACUCUCAACUUAAAUAAGAGUAAGAGUUUAAUAAAUUAGAUGGUCUUUAGUUGUUUUUAAUUAAAGAAAACGUACUAAUACUUUCUACAACUAAAAAAUUCUCCUACCAUGAUUUUUUUAUUUGUUUUGUAUUUAUAAAAUUGGAUCUCGUUAUACUGAUGGAUACAAAUGCCAACGAAUUGGUGAACUUGGUGCGUAAUAUUUUAUUUUUUCCUUCGGAAUUAUUUUUAUAGCUGUGAUAAUACCCAUCGCACUACGGAGAUUUAUAAAUUGUUACGUUUUUAAUAUUAAAUUCAUUUAUUAUUUUUAAAGGUAAAUCGUUUUAUUUCUUUUCGAUGUAUUAUGGAAUUUUUAUAAAUUUAUUAAAUUUUUUGAGAGGAUCGAAACAAUAUAAUACGUUGAUUGAUAUUUAAAUUAAAAUAUUAUUCUUCUUUAUAGCUACUAUUCGUGCGGAAAAUAUCACAGACAUCACUUAGUUACAGUCUGAAAUUCGCUGUUAUCGAAUAAUAUUAUAUUUCGCUUAGGUACCCGUUGGUCUUUUUGUAAAUUCAUAUUGACCAAAUAAUGAAUUUAAUACUAACUAUUGUGUUGUACUAGACUGUAAAAUCUAGUACAAUAAAGUAUAAACGCGUGUCGGAUACGAUCGUGUAAUUUUACGAACAAAACAGCCGGCGUAGCAUCGUAUCGGUAAAACGGCGGCACGUACUGUUUAUUAUAAAAUUUCAAAAUCAAUUACCUACCCAUUUUAUCAAUAAGAAAUUACAAUUAACAAAGCUAAAGUGCACUUACUACUUUGAAUAUCAAUGGACGAAUGUAAACGAUAUAUAUAAUUGAAUCGACUAUCUGUGAGAUAAAGAUAAAUAAUCUGCAACUUACAUUGUUAAAAAAAAAAAAAAAUAUUUUUUUUUUUUUUUAUGUAUUAAAAAAUGUAAUUCCUAAAAGUAUCGCAUUUAGAUUUAAAAAUGUCUGUUUGAUCAUUGUAAAUUUAAAAUUUAGCUAUAAUAAUAAUAUAUAAAAUAUUUUUGAUUCUAAUUAGAAUACAUUCGCUUAUAUUGCAGCGAUGCGUAUCUCAGUUUUUGUAAUUGAACAAGAUGAUCGAAAAAUUGUUUUUUGAAACCAUCUCUAAGACAAGUAUGAAUCGCUGAGAUACGUUACGCUGAUACGAAGUUUUGAUAUAACUGGUGUUUUCAGUUUCGUUAUUUGCAGUGUAACCACGGGUCUUAUAAGAAAAAAUAAAAAAUUGUAUAAGAAACUAUUCCUCCGGAAACACUUGUUUUAUUAUUAUCGAUGACAAAAAACAGCGAAUAGUUUAAAAAUGACACUUGACCGGUUAUUGUAUACCAGCUGUGAAUUAUGAUUCUUUGUAACCUAUUAUUAAAUGGUUGUUUACCGAAUUUCUUAGUUUCAAAAACUCAAGGUUAUCCGUUUAUUGAACACAAAAGAAUAUGGAGUAUCUAUACCCUGAUAAUAAUCGAAUUUUAUUAAAUGUUUAGAUAUUUGCAAGAUAUUGUAGUUGUCUACGAUGAUAUCAAUUCUGGUUAAAAAAAGUUUAAUUAAGUUGUCCACUUUUUUGGAUUAGAUAAAAAACAAAUGUAAUUUAAUCGUGUAAAUAAAAUGCAACAUCGAUUUCGAGUGUUAGAGUAAGAAGUUCUUUUAAAAACGUAUGAAUAAAUAAUGUAAUUUAAUAAUUUGAAGAAUUAGAUUAUGAAAUAAAUACUAUAAGUCUGUAUAAUUAACUUAUAAUUAUUUUAUUGUUAUUUUAUGUAACAACAAAUUUUUUUAAAUUUUUUCCUUUUUUAACAUAAAUGUAUCAGAAAAUUAUAGAUCCAUAUACAAUGCAUAUUAUUAUAUACUCUGUAUUAAGUACCACGAACCCCUAUUUUUAAAUUUACACUAUCCAUAUUAAAUCUUUUUAGUAAUUUAUCGAUGAUAUCUAAAUACAUUGUGUAUUUAAAUUGAACAAUACUUGAACGAUAUAAUAUAUUAUUAAUAUUUUUAACCCUUCAGUAACGGAUUAAUUUAUUAUUCGAAAUAAAUUCGGUCCAGCGUGUAAUACGGGUGCCCCGAACCCUCCCCGGAUAUUAUACGAAUUAUAUCCCCGAUGCUAUUAUAUAAAUUAUUUUAUAAUAUUAUUAUAACAUAAGAUUAUUAUAAUAUAAUAAUAUUAUAAACACGGAAAUGCAUAAAAUUUCGGUUUCUAUAAUUAUGAUUAAUGCAUAUAACGGCAUUAUAAUAUUUUACACGUCUAUGACGUCACGGCCAUUUAUCAAUGUUUUAUGUAUAUCGCUCGUGUAUACCACGGUGUUCAAUAAUUUAAAAUAAAAUCCAUUAGGCCGUUCGGUGUAUGGUUAUGUUGGUAUAAUAAACCCUUUAAUGUUGCGCUUAAUAUUUUAUUUCUAUACUAUAUAUUAUAGUGGCAGAGGCGCGCACCGGUUAAGAAGCGAUUAUCUUAAAUCCGCGGACCCUCCGGAAUGGACUGGAGUGACCGCGUACACAACGGUUCAGGUAGGUAGGCAUUAAAAAACUUACCGCGUAACGGAGGCAAAAAAGAAAUCGGAAAAUUUUAAGCCUUAUUAGUAACUUUACUACAACUAGAGUACAGAGCGUGCAAAUUAUUAUAUUCGAUCCAUCUUCUGUCUGCUGGAUGGGUUUCGAAUAACCAUUGGGCACCGGAAUUCUAUAUGAUAGUGUACUAUCUGACUACACUCACCUGCACAGCUUUUACAUUUUUUUCCUUGGUGACUAUCACCUGCCAUCAUAUGCAGUGCACUGUACGACGAAAAUUCCAUAUGUAGUAGCGAUGUAGUUUUGUCUGCACGUGUGUAAACAAAUGAAACUGACACUGUCGUUGUUCGCAAUCACUUGACGUUGUAAAUUAUAUUUGAUCACUCUUGUGUUCUGGUAUAAUCACACCAUGGUAUUAUUUUAUGGGAAAGCGUUUGUGACUUGUAUUAUUACUGACCACGUGUGUUCUUUGUGUACGCAGUCAGUCAGAUGACAAAAAUGUUUAAAUUAUUAGUCUUCCUGCAAUGUAUUAACUAUGCGCACCGUAUAUGGUUAAAAAAAAAAAUAUUAUAAAACAUAAUAUUUUACAUUGCUUACUGUAUACACUGUUCCCCGGCGUAAGACUUGGAAUUGGCGUUCGAUAAAAUUAUAAUCAUAGUUUACAGAAAUAUAUUGUAUUCAAUGAGAGGAGAUCACAAAAAAAAAAAAAAAAUACAAAAAAAUGAAAUUUGUAUCGAAUAAAUUGUAAAGAGGAACAAGGCGGAGCGAAAGAAUUUAAAGUUAAAACACUUGUCCCUCUUGGCAUCGUCUAACGGCAUUUCUGACAGAAGACUUAUCUAUGUUGUUUUCGAUGGAACUUCAUUAUGUCAGUGCUUCAAUCGGAAAUCUAUAUUUACAUAGUAUACAAUAUAUAAACUUAUAACUAAAACGGAGCUCGUUCAAGUGAAUGCAAUUUCAAUAAAUAAUCUCUUUGUAAUUCGUUACAGUAUUUUGCUUUUGUAUUUUUGUUUUUGUUUUUGUUUAAUGAAGAACACGAAUGUCAACAAUUAUGAACUAAAUGGUUUUUAUUUUUCAAUAAUAAUUAUGUUGCCACGAUUUUCUGGCCGUUUUCCAAAUUCACGCGCGAGCGCGACAAAGUUUCGAAAGUCAUUCAGACCCCACUGCACGCCGGUCUGUAUAUUAUUAUUUUAUUAUGUAUACGGAUGAUUUUCGUUUAAAUUAUGCGGGAACACCGGUGAACUUUCGAGAACCAUUUUUCUGAAUGUUCUAAGUUGUAUACAAACAAAAAAGUAUACGGGCAUAAAUCUUAUUUGAAAAGCGUUAUAGCAGCGUAUAAUAUAAAGCCCACAGUUACUAGCUGGUAAUGAUUUUAUUUUAUCAAAAUUAUAAUACUUCGGUAUAACUAUAGUGCAAUUGAAAAUUUCUCGUGUUUACGCGUGUACAAUAGAAGCCUCAAAAAUACCGAAUCGAAUUUUAUUCUAUUCAUUCGAUGGUUUAUUACUGACGCGAAAUACGAAUAAAAUAACAUAAUAAUAUUGGCUGGCGAUGUUUUCAUUGAAGUGUAAUUUCACACGUAUAUUAGAACAAAACGAGAGAACGCAUUUAAAAUAUAUAAAAUUUAAAAAUCGACGAAAGUAUAAAGGUUUUUGUACAAUUCAAUAAUACGAUUGAUGCUAUUUGGAUAAAAUAAAACAUAAAUUGAUUUGUUAGAAUCACGCUGUGCAAUUGUACUCGGUAAUAGUAUAUGGACAUGAAACUAAAAACAAUAAUCCUUUGACAUUAAAAUGGUUAAAUGAAAUUAUACAGCUGAGAUCCGUGGACAGCAAUCAUUACAAUCAAGAAAGUAAUGGCAUUUUGAAAUGUGUAGUUGUAAAAUGCCUGAUAUUUCGCCGUGUGACGAAUAAGUAUCAAAUAAAGAAGUUUACAGAAGAUUAAGGAAAAAUGACAAAUUUGCGAAAUCAUAGAAAGGAUAAUAUUAUAUGAUGACUAAGCGACACCACGAUGAUUAAUCGCAGACAACCAUUGAAGCUUAUGCAAUGAGGUCAAAUCGGUAAAAAAAACAAUAAAGAUGAAAUAUCUACCACAACUUCUCAAGGAUACGGGAACGAAUCGAUGCUAUCGAAAGUUGAAGCCGAUUCUUGUACAGAGAAGCUGCACGGAGAACUGUAGGUAAUUCGAAAGAUUGAGGGUCAAAAGAAGAAAAAAUCCUAGAAUAAUGGGGACAAAUGCAGCCACUGUUAUAGAUAAUUUAAUGUAUACCCGUAAGCAUCAAUAAACCAUUGCUUAAGAAAAACCGAUUCUGAGCAGAGUUAAGUUGAUAUUGAUGCAUUGUCAACAAUAUAUAUAUAUAUAUCAUUUCAUAGUAAAAUAAUUAGAUAGGCUUUAUUUAUUUGCUUUAAUAAUAUAUAUUUAUUGAUGUACCGAUUUUCCCAGUUUUCCUAUGUUUUUCAAGGUUUUCCCAUAUUUUAUACCGGUUUUUCACAUUUGCUGAGAAAAGUGUUGAAAAAUAUAUCUACAAAUGACCUUUCUAAAGUACCUCCCCAAUCGGAUUUCCUUUUAGAAACAUUGCUAUCAUAAUAAAUUAUAGCGAAAUUGUUGGUAGAAUAGUUGUUUACAGAAAAAAAGAACGCCGUAAUAUAUUUUAAAUAAUACCUACAUUUCCUAUAUUUUUCCGAUUUUUCAAAUUUGAUGAGAAAACCCCUGAGAUAAUCAAAUAGUGACAUAUCUUUGUAAAACCAUAAGCUUCAUCGUUCUACUCAGAAUCUAAAAUUAUAUGUUUUUGAAUAUGGAGACAAAAAUGUUUGAAUAAUUUUGAAUUGAGUGAACAAAUUAUUCAAAUUAUUCGAAAACAGUAGACACGACGACGUAACGUAACCGGAAAACGCACUUAUAGACCCUAUUCGAAUUCGGUCUAAAAUGAAUCGUAACCCAAGUGGUUUUUUUAGACUAUACAAAACUAAAUAUAACUAUUACUCUAAUUUUGAUACUGCUGCAAAGAAGUGAGUUUCUAAAGCGUAAUCAUAAAACUUACUAACUAUUUGAUGAAUAGCUACCAUCAGUCGAGAUAAAGUAAUAGGGAAAUGGAUAAACCUAACAUACUUGGUGGCUUAAAACUGAUAUAAUUACAAAGAAAUUAGUGUCCUUGGUAUAAAAUCUAAAAAAUUAUGUACAAACUACGUCGGUAUACACACAGUACGAGUUUAAAUCGCAUAGGGUCCGUGAAUACGCUGCCGAGUGUGUUUUAAUAUUUCUCGAUAGCACAGCGCUCGGAGUAGGCAAUUCAGCUACAGUAGCGCUAUGCGGAACAGUACUAAUCGUUCAUUCGGAAUGUACAAUGCAUAAAUCACAUUGCAAGAUUUUAAUAAUUAAUAAUAAUCAAUUAUUGCAAUUGCAUCGCUACAACUUUAAUCUGACACGUAUUGUGCAAUAUUAUUAUUAUUGAUAUAAACUACAUAUACGUAUACGCAAAGGCGGACGACAGACGUUGACUUACGUGUCUGUUCAAACAAUGUAGAAUUUCCCGUGAACACAACAAUAAUGUCAUGGAACAUAAUAUUAUAACCGUGCAUUAUAAAAACUGUGACGUUUCUCAAAAGACAGUGAUCAAUAAUAUAUUUGACAAUGUUAUCGUAUGAGUAUUAGAAUGUACUAUUAUUUUCGCGAUGUGGAAUAACAUAAAUUCGGCUUCGUUUCCAGCACUUCCGCAAUCGAAUUUCAAUACUUAAACAACAUAGUGUACUUCGUUUUUUUUUCUUUUUUCGAAAAACUCCGUGAAAAAAUGUUUGUUCUAUUUUUUUCCCAGGUGUAUUGUUUUAAAGAUCUGAUUGGCACGCUUUCGAUUGUGCUUUUACGAAGUUGUACAAAAACACAAAAAAAUGCAUAGUAUUGCCAAAGUUUGGUAUAAAAUAUUCCAAAGGCAGUGUUAGGGAAGCGGAACUCCUAAAUUUUGUUCGUUAGUUAAUUUAUAAUAAAUGUCUUCCUUUAAACAUAUGAUACACAUCAUAUGGAAAAAAUCCACACAUUUUAAGGUACUUUGUAAAGAUAACAAGUUUUUGAUUAAAAAAAAAAAGCUAUUACAAAUUAAAAAUUAUAGCUAUUUUGCUACACGUUGUAAAAUCUAAAAAUCUAAAAUCUGUAAAAAAAAAAAAAAAAAAUGCAAAUAAAAAUAAAUAAGAAUACGUUAUUACAAUAUGUUAUAUUUUUGAAAUAUUGAAGUUCGAAAGAUUACAAAAUAUUUUAUAAUACAGAGUUUCAAAGUUAUUUUACAGACCCCGAAUAUCGUUACAUCAGUGAAUGGCUCCGCCGGGAGAUAAUAUCCGUAAAACCAAGAUUCCAAGAUUAAAGCACACUCGGGGUGACUACCGUAAAAAAUAAAUAAUGGAAUUUAUAAUUUCAGUUUAUACAGUUCCGUAUAUGCACUCCAGAUCGAUAAAUAAUCUUAUCUUACGCAUGUUGUAAUAAUAAUUAAAGGAUCUACUCUUAUUACAAAUUUGUUCUAAUAGUUCUUAGAGAAAUUUAUAAAUAUAAGCUAUGUAUUUUUGUUUUUUCAUUAAACCGAGAUGUCGAAUUCCAAAUUUUGUUUUUCAUAUUCUAAAGUUUUAAUCUUCUUUCACAUAUUUUAAUUUGAAUGUGUAUAUUUUUUUAAGGAAUACAUUUAAGUUGUUUUAUGAAUUUAUUUAUGAACAAUUAUCGUGCUUCUAAAAAUCUUUUCUAGAGCUGCAAACUACGACUUCCUUGUAAUAAUUGUAUUAUUUAGAUUAAUUAGCAAACAUUUUUUUUUUUUUUUAAACUAUACAAUUUGCAUAUGAUUUUACUGCUUGAUAGUCGAAAAGAAAAGAUAAAUUUAGCUCUUAGACUAUUUUAAAAAUUUUAAGUUAUUUACAAUGUUUAUAUCGGUAAGAGUUUUCGUAAAAUUUGCGAUAUCGUGCUUCGUCGAUAGUUAUGUAUCUUUAAACAAAAAACACAAAAAUAAAAACACACAUCAUAGCUGUUGAACCAAGUAUUGAAGAAACCAUAGUAUCCCUUGUCUACGUUCCGAAUCUAAAAUGGUUGUUUUUCACCUUGUGAUUGUGCAGUAGACCUUUCCACAUUGACUAAAGAUGACUCACCAAAUGAACUCAGGCGGAUAACAUUUUGCUUAUGUAUAUGGUGUCAGCAUCAAAAAGACGUUUCUUUUUGGAUAUUGAACUUUUAAUCCUCACUUUUACCUUUUUAAUGUUUAAAUUCUACCAUUUUUUGGUGGGAAGUAGUAUAAAAUACUAAAAAUUAAGUUAUUAUUAUUAUUAGCAAUUAUUAUUUCUAUAACCCAAAAUACGUUUGGAAAAAUUUGACUCUACGUAUAGUGACGAAUAUUGCAGCUCAUGAGAGUAUAGAUUUUUAUAUAAGUGAGGGAUGAAUUGGCUUUACUUAUGAUGCGCUUAAUUUUAUUUUGUAUCUAUCAACAAAUUAUUUUACCGAAAAUCAUCCAAUCGAAAAUUUAUAGGAACUUAUUCCAGUAAAUUUGAUUCAAUUGGUAUACUUAGAGAGGUCGUUUUUGGAUUUUCCUCGUAGAUUUCUCCAGAAUUGAAAAAAAAAUUGUUAAUAUUUUGUACAAUUUUUGUUGAUUACUAUUACCUUAGAAACGAAGAGAAAAUAUGAUUAAUAACAAUAUGCUUUAUACUCUUUUGGUAUAACAUACUCUGCUUGGAAACAUUUUUCGUUAGAAAUGGUUUAUCGUCCGUGAUAUAAAUUAAACUUUCUAUAUUAUCUCUUCCAAUGUCCCUUAUAAAAUAUUGAAGCACCUACCGCAGUAUUAUGGCCUUUUUUUUUUUUUAUUUAAUAUAUAUUAAUCAUACUAAUGUUUAUACAAGGAUCCCAUAUAGAUACGAUCAUUGCAAUAUCUUGGAAAUUCUUUUCUUACAAUUUGAAAUACAAGUAUCUCUAAAACGUCACAAUCAUAUUAUAUUUUUCACUUUUAUUUCUAGAGGUGAACGGACUGUCUAUAAUUAAAAAAAAAUUUCAUAAAAUGACGGAUAAUUAGUUUAAAUAAAUCUCAGUGUUGGCAUUUUUUUGAUUUCCGUCAACCCUUUAACGAUAAUUCUACUUUGGUUUGGAUGGAACAGUGGAGCAUCAUGCAAUAUUUUAAAACCACUUGGUUCUUACAUAAAUCAAUACUUUAUAGAAUAACACAAUGAUCAUAAUAUCUCCGUGGGACAUCGCAUAUAAACGCGAAUCAAUAAAUAUAAUAUUGUUUUAUGCCUAUUGUAAUUGCUAAAACAUUCAGAAUAUAAUGUAUGAUAUCAGAUUCAUUUGCUAAAAUCAUUUACAUCGAAUUCCGCCGCGGAGAAUUAUUUUAUUUUUAUUAUGUAACGAUGACGACACGAUGUUUUGUUUUUAGUAUAAUAUACGCAUUUUAUAUACGCUCGAACAAAAAUAUUACGAAAGUGAAUUAUGACUUUUAAUACUUGCGCUGGUUUGAUUAAUACCCUCGCGGAGCAACUCCUCUUAUUAUUAUUAUUAUUGUUAUAUAUUUUUCAAUUACGGUUUUUUGGGCACCACACAUAUUAUUAUUAUUACACACCACUUUUAUUUCGACAAUAUUUGCAGGAGUUACGAUAUUUUAUUAUAGAGACCGUUGGUGAUAAAAAAAAAAAAAAAAAAAAAUUAAAACACAUUUAGUCAAAUUUAUUGUCUCGUUUUUGUUGUUCCUAAACCGCUACCGCGGUGGCGAUUUAACAGAUUUUACCAAUAAUUAUUCUUAAAAAAAAAAAAAAAAAAACAUAAUAUUGGCUUUUGACGUUAAAACGUUGAUAUUAAUAUUUAUGGCGAAGACGAAAAAAAAAAAACACAAUUACGUUUUGAAACCCAACAAAUUUGUUGAUAUACAAUUAGAACAAUAGUUAAAACGCGAAUCGCUUUCUAUUAUAUUUUUAGGCUUUUGUUAUGUACCUACAUAUUAAUGAAUAUGACAUAAUCCGUCACAUUGGCGUUGUAUUACGUUUAAGUUUAGAAAAUCCGUGAACGUACUUCGCACCAUAUAUUGAUCGCUGCAGCCCAGGUGGCAAGUUUGAAUGGAUAAAAUAUUAUAUGAAAGCACAUUAUUAUUUAUAUAAUACAAGCAAUGAUUAUUGAUUUAAAAAAAAAAAAAAAAAAAAAAUUGUUGAUCGGAUAGUAUAGGUGUAUAGUAUUUUUCGUGUCUUUUUUUCCUUUUGUAGUUUCCACAAGAUAACUAAGAAAGGGAUAAAAAUAAAACCAACACAAUGAAAGGCGUUGUUAGUUUUGUUUUAUAAAUACUGUUGCGAGUUUAGCGAUCUGUUCCGAUAAAAAUUAUACGAUCCGGCAAAAAAUGUUCAAGGUAGAUAUAAAAUUCCAAUGAUUUAGAGAUGAUUUCAUAAAUUGAGAAAUGUGUUUUCCGAAUAAAAAACCCAAUUAAAUUUCUAUAGUGGAAGAACUGUUGAGAAUUUCGAAAACGCUAGUUAAUUACUAUCGGGCGUAAAUUCCGCACCUCGGAAGGUUCACUAACCGAAAAAAGUUUUCAGUGAAAAUUUAUCUAAUUGAAAAUAGUGUUUUUGGAAAAAAUAUUAGACAUCUCGAAAAAUAGUAGCUUACAAGAAAAUUACACUUACUUUUAAAUAACAUUAAUUUGACAUUUAAAACGUAUUUUUUAUUUUAUUUUAUAUGAUAGGUAUUUUGUUUUUACCGACUCUGUAUCGUUGUAAAAUGAUUUCAGUAAGAGAGCACCAUAAUAAUAUUUGAGUAGAUUUACAGUUUUCCCUCUUCUCGUCAUUAAUGAUGUACCAUCUAUAUAAAUUAUUCACCUCUCGAAAAUGAUUAAAUAUGCGUACGUUCGUGGUUUUAGUUUUUAGAAAAUCAAUAACCUUAACAAAUUAUUUAUAAUUGUGCACAAACUUUUAUUAUCACGAUUACGUAUUGAACAAUUUUUGGGUUAUCGCUACAAAGAGCUACCUGUUCACACACCUAACGAAUUGCUUACUAAAAAUAAAAAUCAAUGCAUACAUGAUCAGGUGGAAAAGAUAACAAUAUGACCGUCAUAUGACGGCGGUAAGCCCUACCAGUUUUAUGGCAAACAAUGUCCCACACAGCCCCAAAAUACAUUAAAAAUUCAAAGGAAUACACUAUAAUAAUAUCUAAAAAAAUAAAUGAAUAGAUAACGGAGAAAAUAAAGUAUAUAAAAAUCAAAAAAUGCAAAAUGAAAUGUCUUAUUCGCAUUUAAAAAUACAUUAAACGAAUUCGUUAAAAAACGUGACACGUUAUGAAUUUUGACAAUAUUAUUUUACUGUCCAAUAAUAUUAUACAUUCAUCAAAUGCUUAAUAAAAAUGUGUUGUUCUCGUUCGAAAAUAAAUAAAACAACUUUGCAGCAAAACGAGCAUCGCACAAAAAGCUUUGAAGAACUAUGCAAUACACAUUAAAAUAACAAUUAGUAUUGCAAUUUUAUUAUAAGUGUUAACAAUUGUAGUUUCUAUGUUCUGAAUCGUUUGUAUUAUGGAAUGCCGAACAUUUUACAAUGUAACCAUCAAAUAAUAUUUAUUAUGCUCGUAAUAUUCUAACUUAAACUGUACCUACAUAUAAAUAUACAAUAUCGUAUACGUUUGAACAAAUAAAACGGCAGACGACCCGAAUUAUAUAAAUAAAACAAAAACAAUAACAAUUUAAAUAAUGAUAAUAACUUUCGAUAACGACGUUUUAAUCAUUUUAUUAAAUUCUAUACUCGGCUGUAAUAAAUUGGCGUUCGUUUUUAUCGCCUAUUCCUUAUUACAGAUAUUAAGAAAAAACAAAAAAUCGAGGUAUAAUUAUUUAUUAUUAUCCACUACAGUCGUUUGGAAGGUAAAUUAAUAUUCGAUAAAAUACUCGCUAAAAUGUCGAUAAUUUUAAAACUCGAUAAUCUUUGGGUAAAUUAAGUGGUCACAAAAUAUGUAACACAAUUUCUCGAAUUAUAAAAUCAUUUUCUGUGACUGAACGUUGUAAAUAACUACCUGUGGCGCAGGCCGAGAAGGGAUGUUUUGGGUGUCUGGACACCUCUCUACCAAUAAGUUGUAAUAAGUUGCACUUGGUGGAAACUCAUGACGGUAAAAAACUUAUUAUUUAGGCUUUACACCCAAACUCCUUUUGAAUAUUUGAUUAAUUUUUUAUUGAUUGCCAUAGAAUUAGUAAUAUUGAUCUUUUGUAUUAUAUAAAAUUGAAGACAGCCAUGGGGGUUUUUUUUUUUAUGCAUUUACCUUUUACGCUACGAGUACAAAAAUUAGUACCCACUUACCAUUGUUAAUUCGUUUAAAUGUACUUAAUGUUGCACUCAGUCAAUAUGCCUUUUCGAUCCGAUGUACAAAUGCGUUGUAUGAAAUAUAAAUAAUAGUAAUGUGUUCAUUCGGAAUCGGAUAUUUUUCAGUUAUCAAAAAGUGUUUAAUUUUAUUUAAUUGUUAAUGUAAAUGAACAAUUUUUCCGUAUGUUUUCAAAUCAUUCUAAACAAAACUUGAAAUUAUUAAAAUGGCCUCGCGUAAUUUUGUUCUGUAUACAUAACAAAUGUAUACUCAAGGUAGCCAACAAGUUAAAAUUUCAUAUAAUACCUUUUGAACAUAUUAUUCAAUUACAAAAACCGUAGAUAUAGACUAUAUAGAUUAUAGAUCUGAAAUAUAGAACAAAAUUUCUGAAAGAAAAUUUGUUUACAGAAAAAAUUAAAUAAACAUUGUAUAACCAAUACAUUUCUAGCUCCGCUCAGAACCAUAAAAGGGAAAAUAUAUAAUAUAUUUUCUUUAAUCACUAUUACGGUAUACCGUUGAGAUUUAUAGAUUUUUACGGACUAUAUUUUUAUUUAAAAACCAAUUGAAGUCGAUAGAUAAAAAUAUUAUAUUAUAUUAAAAUAUUUCUCAUAUGAUCUGUUCAUUUACUAUAUAGGUACAUUUGACCACGCCCGAACAAAUACACAAUCCUAAUUUACCAGUCCGGCAAACAAUUUUCCAAUUCGGUCAAUAUGGGUACCUAACAACGAUAUCAUCGGUGUAUAUUUUUUUUUUAUUUCAAUUUAACUUUAAGGUAUAAGCGGGCGUGCAUAUAGAAAAUAUUAUAGUUAACUAGAUUGUAAGUUUAGAAAAUCGUUGAGUACUGUUAAAUCUAUAAUGAUUUGUCAGUGUGAAUAUCGUUCAAAUGAAAAUAACGAAAAAUUACGCGGUCAAAAUAACAAUGCAAUACUGAAAAACGGCCGUAGAAUUUAUUUAAUCUAAGUAAAACGACACAUUUGAAAAUAAAUAGGUUACUAAACGAUUACUAAACAAUAUAUAUUUUGUUUAGUACGUCAGUUUGCAGGCUGGUCGAAAUGAACAAAACUCUUCGAUACAUUAUGUGAUGUGGUGGUGUUCUCGGUAGAUAGUGCCGCUAGAUUUGUUCGAAAUCGUUGAUUUAUUUUAAAUAAUAUCUAAAAGAAACUUACAAAAAAAAAAGAAAAAAGAAGACGAAAUCAAUUUCUCGUGUACCAUCUGUUGUAACCAUCAUAUACCUAAUAUAAUCCAUCAUCUCACAAUGGCGAGUUCUCAAUCGUUUUGUUCGGGAAAAACGAACCGACGAUUUCAUUCGCGUACCGAGAACAUUAGUGACGAUAAACAGUCGGCAAGCAAUUUUUGCUGUGGUGGAUUUAAGGAGAAAGCCAAAUGGAUAAAAUGUUUAUAAACUAAACAUGUGUAUUUGCUCGAUUUAUUAAAAAAAAACACCAAAACAAAAAUAGUGUGGAGAUGUCAAACGAGAAACGAUAAAAAUUGAUUCGAGCGACUCAUACGAAUAUACCAUUACAAUACUAUUAUUGUUUUUGCGUAUGCCUUAAUAAUAUUUAUUUUUAAACCAAUGAAUUGUAUAAUUUUCACGAUAUUCUCACCAAAGCUCGAGAUCUAGUUAAUAUAGUUUGUAUAUCUGAUCUCGAAAAGAAUGUAAUUGUUAUUGUAUACAUGAGUGACGACCAGUGACAAUUGUUUAUUUUUUUAAAAACUCGACAAUAAGUUUGUUUCGUGAGUUAUUAUAUUGCGCGGUAAAACAAAUGUCAACGAUUUCGAAGAAGACCAAGACGGAUUGGUAGACUAGAGAUCUAAUCUGAAGUGACGGACCCAGAGUAUUGACGAGGCGAAUGAAAUAUAUUUUAUAUAUUCAUGAAAUCCUCGUGUAGUCGGGUGAUUUUUCGAUUGCAUCGAACGAUCGUGUGUUUUCUUUAUAAUACUUAUAUAUCGGAUACAAUCAACCGCAAUACAGGCAAUAUAUCGAAAUAAGUCUAGUUUUGAAAUUUUCCGCGUGCAAUUCUCUUUUUUUCAAUCCCUAUUCAUUUUGCAAUAAUAGUGGGAAAACCCGAUAAUGCGAAAAUAUUUCUACAACAGAACGGUUGUUGUAAAAGAGCCGUGGUAUACAGUUCAGCAUUUUACCGAAACUCGUUCAGUAUUAUUUUCGUCACAGUGUGUAAACCAUUAAACACAAUAAUAUUUUUGCUACAAAUGUACGAUAUAAUCAUCGUACAUGUUUAUAUAGUUUCGGAAAUAAAAUAAAUGUUUUUAAUCUCAAACCAGUUGCAAAAGCGACCGUUUGGCGAGUAUGCGUAGUAGAUACCCGCACAUUGUCGACCGAAACAUGAUCGAUUCAAAAUCAUUUUUCUAACAGUCUCUUCUUCACAACGACUGUUCUCACGAAAUUACCGUGUGAUCGGAAUCGAUUCAUGCCCAUGUGCGAUGUGAGCACAUACAUCGAUUGCGAAUCGGUUGCACAAUAGUUCGAGAUUCUCGUUGUGAACUAGUCGCACCGUGUACGGAGAACAUUAUAGCGUUUUGUAUUUUUCAAGACGUUUUAAUUUCCAAAAAUAUUCCCGCGUGGUUAUUCGCAGCGGCCCGUUGACAUUUUCAAAGUUUUCCAGUUAUUUUUUGGCAGAUAAUGACAGUAAUAAUAAUAACAAUAGAAUAACAAUUAUUGUUGCAGAUAAACCGGACGCGGGAUAAAAGACACGUCGGUACCGAGAACAACGACCGGAGAUGAGGACAUCGGAAAUAAUUUAUGUUUCUCGUCGAGCUCUAUCCAUGGCGCGUUCGCUAUGAAAUAUCGUAUUCUCGUCUCUGGGAGGUCCUUCGCGGCCAGACAUCGGCGGCGGCAGAAAAACUGCACCGCAGCGUGUACACCG